This 74-nucleotide transfer RNA is filed under the name Alicyclobacillus acidoterrestris. Its description in RNAcentral is "tRNA-Glu". It matches the Rfam family "tRNA". From Rfam's summary of the family: Transfer RNA (tRNA) molecules are approximately 80 nucleotides in length. Their secondary structure includes four short double-helical elements and three loops (D, anti-codon, and T loops). Further hydrogen bonds mediate the characteristic L-shaped molecular structure. tRNAs have two regions of fundamental functional importance: the anti-codon, which is responsible for specific mRNA codon recognition, and the 3' end, to which the tRNAs corresponding amino acid is attached (by aminoacyl-tRNA synthetases). tRNAs cope with the degeneracy of the genetic code in two manners: having more than one tRNA (with a specific anti-codon) for a particular amino acid; and 'wobble' base-pairing, i.e. permitting non-standard base-pairing at the 3rd anti-codon position. Lineage: Bacteria; Bacillati; Bacillota; Bacilli; Caryophanales; Alicyclobacillaceae. The record is from RNAcentral. RNAcentral also lists the same sequence under 1 other name.
GGCGCAUUGGUGAAGCGGUCUAACACAGCCGACUUUCUAUCGGUGACACGUGGGUUCGAAUCCCACAUGCGGUA